Molecule: long non-coding RNA, 1344 nt
Filed under: Nothobranchius furzeri (turquoise killifish)
Lineage: Eukaryota; Metazoa; Chordata; Actinopteri; Cyprinodontiformes; Nothobranchiidae
Description: lncRNA (ENSNFUG00015008124.1)
Source: RNAcentral
AUGGACUGGACCGGAGCGACCUUCAGAACCACCAUUGGAACCGGAGACGAUGGAGACGUCGGACCAGAGGGAGUGUCGACCUCUAGAGUGGAGAGAGCAUCGACCUCUAGAGUGGAGAGAGCGUCGACCUCUAAAGUGGAUAAGGCGACUUCAGACGAGACGGCUUCAGAGGCGACUUCAGACAAGACGGCUUCAGAGACGACUUCAGACACGUCGACUUCAGACGAGACGUCUUCAGAGGCGACUUCAGACGAGACGACUUCAGAGGAGACGACUUCAGACACGUCGACUUCAGACGAGAUGUCUUCAGUGAAGACUUCAGACAAGAUGGCUUCAGAGGCAACUUCAGACGAGACGACUUCAGACGAGACGGCUUCAGAGGCGACUUCAGACGAGACGACUUCAGACGAGACGGCUUCAGAGGCAACUUCAGACGAGGUGACUUCAGACGAGGCGACUUCAGACGAGUCGACUUCAGACACAUUGACUUCAGACGAGACGUCUUCAGAGGCGACUUCAGACGAGGCGACUUCAGAGGCGACUUCAGACGAGGCGACUUCAGACGAGACGACUUCAGAGGAGACGACUUCAGACACGUCGACUUCAGACGAGAUGUCUUCAGUGAAGACUUCAGACAAGAUGGCUUCAGAGGCAACUUCAGACGAGACGACUUCAGACGAGACAGCUUCAGAGGCAACUUCAGACGAGGCGACUUCAGACACGUCGACUUCAGACGAGACGUCUUCAGAGGCGACUUCAGACGAGGCGACUUCAGAGGCAACUUCAGAUGAGGCGACUUCAGACGAGACGACUUCAGAGGCAACUUCAGACAAGGCGACUUCAGACAAGACGACUUCAGACGAGACGACUUCAGACACGCCAACUUCAGACGAGACGUCUUCAGACACCUCGACUUCAGACAAGACGUCUUCAGAGGCGACUUCAGACGAGACGGCUUCAGAGGCAACUUCAGACAAGACGACUUCAGACGAGACGGUUUCAGAGACAACUUCAGACGAGGUGACUUCAGGCGAGACGGCUUCAGACACGUCGACCUCAAAGGAGACUUCAGAACAUGAGGAGGCGUCGAUUUCAGAACACGAGGAGGCGUCGACUUCAGAACAGGUGGAGGCGUCGACUUCAGAACAGGUGGAGGCGUCGACUUCAGAACAGGAAGGGGCGUUGACUUCAGAACAGGAAGGGGCGUCGACUUCAGAACAGGAAGGGGCGUCGACUUCAGAACACGAGGAGGUGUUGACUUCAGAACAGGAAGGGACGUCGACUACAGGACAGGACCGGACGUCGACCACCAUCAACUUCUGGUCCGGGGGCGUCGGCUUGUGA